UACGGGGGGGGUAAGCGUUGUUCGGAAUUACUGGGCGUAAAGGGCUCGUAGGCGGCCAACUAAGCCAUACGUGAAAUCCCUCAGCUUAACUGGGGAACUGCGUGUGAUACUGGAUGGCUUGGAUUUGGGAGAGGGAUGCGGAAUUCCAGGUGUAGCGGUGAAAUGCGUAGAUAUCUGGAGGAAUACCGGUGGCGAAGGCGGCAUCCUGGACCGAUAUUGACGCUGAGGAGCGAAAGCUAGGGGAGCAAACAGG
This 253-nucleotide ribosomal RNA is filed under the name uncultured bacterium. RNAcentral describes it as "partial 16S ribosomal RNA". It matches the Rfam family "Bacterial small subunit ribosomal RNA", at positions 524 to 776 of the family's 1533-position model. The record is from RNAcentral.